Molecule: ribosomal RNA, 620 nt
Filed under: uncultured bacterium
Lineage: Bacteria
Description: bacterial SSU rRNA
Rfam family: Bacterial small subunit ribosomal RNA
Source: RNAcentral
CGAGGCUCACAGGGUUAAUAGCCCUGAGGAGUGACGGUACCUCCAGAAGAAGCCCCGGCUAACUACGUGCCAGCAGCCGCGGUAAUACGUAGGGGGCAAGCGUUGUCCGGAUUUAUUGGGCGUAAAGCGCGUGUAGGCGGCCAGGUAGGUCAGUUGUGAAAACUCGGGGCUCAACCCCGAGACGUCGAUUGAAACCCCCUGGCUAGAGUCCGGAAGAGGAGAGUGGAAUUCCUGGUGUAGCGGUGAAAUGCGCAGAUAUCAGGAAGAACACCCGUGGCGAAGGCGGCUCUCUGGGACGGUACUGACGCUGAGACGCGAAAGCGUGGGGAGCGAACAGGAUUAGAUACCCUGGUAGUCCACGCCGUAAACGAUGGGUGCUAGGUGUGGGGGGUGUCGACUCCCUCCGUGCCGAAGCUAACGCAUUAAGCACCCCGCCUGGGGAGUACGGCCGCAAGGCUAAAACUCAAAGGAAUUGACGGGGGCCCGCACAAGCAGCGGAGCAUGUGGUUUAAUUCGACGCAACGCGAAGAACCUUACCAGGGCUUGACAUGCACUGGAAACCUCUGGAAACAGAGGCUCCCUUCGGGGCCAGUGCACAGGUGGUGCAUGGCUGUCGUCAG